This 277-nucleotide long non-coding RNA is filed under the name Homo sapiens (human). RNAcentral's name for it is "non-protein coding lnc-AGL-2:1". The record is from RNAcentral. Lineage: Eukaryota; Metazoa; Chordata; Mammalia; Primates; Hominidae.
CAGCUUAAGAUUUGGGGCUGAAACGAUGGGGUUUUCUAAAUAUAUAAUCAUGUCAUCUGCAAACAGAAACAAUUUGACUUCCUCUCUUUCUAUUCAAAUACUGUUUAUUGCUUUCUCUUGCCUGAUUGCCCUGGCCAGAACUUCCAAUACUAUGUUGAAUAGGAGUGGUGAGAGAGGGCAUCCUUGUCUUGUGCCAGUUUUCAAAGGGAAUGCUUCCAGUUUUUGCCCAUUCAGUAUGAUAUUGGCUGUGGGUUUGUCAUAAAUAGCUCUAAUUAUU